AAUGAACGUUGGCGGCGUGGAUUAGGCAUGCAAGUCGCGCGAGAAGUUUCCUUCGGGAGACGGACAGCGGCGGAAGGGAGAGGAGUACGUAGAAAUCUGCCCUCGAGCCUGGGAUAGCGGCGGGAAACUGCCGGUAAUACCAGAUAAAGUCUUCGGACCAAAGGUGUGAUUCCGCUUGAGGAUGAGUCUACGUCCUAUUAGCUAGUUGGCGGGGUAAUGGCCCACCAAGGCAACGAUGGGUAGCGGGUGUGAGAGCACGAUCCGCCUCACUGGGACUGAGACACUGCCCAGACACCUACGGGUGGCUGCAGUCGAGAAUCUUCGGCAAUGGGGGAAACCCUGACCGAGCGACGCCGCGUGCGGGAUGAAGGCCCUCGGGUUGUAAACCGCUGUCGUAAGGGACAAAUCCAUAGGGGUACUCUCCUAUGGUUGAGUGAUCUUAGGAGGAAGGACGGCUAAGUCGUGCCAGCAGCCGCGGUAAUGUCUGUACU
This 491-nucleotide ribosomal RNA is filed under the name uncultured bacterium. RNAcentral's name for it is "bacterial SSU rRNA". It matches the Rfam family "Bacterial small subunit ribosomal RNA", at positions 29 to 535 of the family's 1533-position model. The record is from RNAcentral.